UUUUAUUUUUUAAGUUACCAUGUUAAUACACUUAAACGUUAUCAAUUAAUAGACCAUGACUUUUAACAUGUUUUUUUUCCUUUUUCCGGCAGUUAAUUCAAAAUACAAUAAAUUUAAGGCCGAAUAUAUAGACAGACACUUAUAGUUUAUCAGGCACUCGAACAUCCUCCCAAAUGUGCCAAUUAAACACAGACCUCAUAUCCGAUCUUAAAAUUUAGGAGCGUGUAUGUAAACACGGCUGAUGUGUAAUAUAUAGCUAAUAAAAAUCAUCCACAUGUCUAAGUAGUCCACAUAAGCCGUGUUUGCCUUAAAACAAAUUUACCGACUUCAUUUUUACCCUAAAUCAAACCCGAUUCUCCCCACUGUAAAACCCUAAAAAUUGUAGGUCGAUUAUUGUUUGAUUUCAAUUUUCUUCCAUGCUUACAAGUGUGUUUCGUUGUUUAACCGACUAUUAAGCGAGGUAUUUGUUGAGGUGUUGGUUGCAUGUAUACAAUCCAGAAGUCCAGGUUAAGAAGCUAUUAAUUUUCCAGAUUAAUCAAGACUUUUAAGUACAAGGAAUAUAUUCAGGCCCGAUUUCACCAUGGUGGUACUUUUACCAUGAAGCCAAACCAAAAUACAUAGAUGAGAAAGACGUGGGAAUCUACGGUAUUAAAGAUCACUUAGUUGGACCUAGACAUAAGUCAAUUAUAACAAUAUUGGAGAAAAUCAGAUACAAAAUAAUGAAUAGGGAUAAUGACAUGAGGAAUUUUGCUAAGACUUGGAUAAGUGACAUUUCACCAAUAGCAAGGAUGAUUUAGAGGAGAACAAGGAACUGUAUAGGAGAUGUAAAGUAAGAUUUAAUGGAUAUGAUGGUUUUGAGAUUGAAGAAGGUGAUAAGAGGUUUAUUGUUAAUAUGGUGACAAAGACUUGCACUUGUAGAUCCUGGAUGUUGAGGGGAAUACCAUGUCAACAUGUUGUUUGUUCAUACUAUCACUUAGAGCAAGAGCCAAAACAACAUGUUGAAAUUUUGGUAUAGAAAAGAAACACUCCUAAAGGCUUACAAAUAUUUUCUUCAACCCAUGCCCAAUAUGAAGAUGUGGCCAGAAUCUAAAAAUCCAGUUAUUGAGCCUUCAGAGCCAAAACUAAUGCCAAGUAGACCAAAAGAUGUAGGAGAAAAGCAAAGUAUGGCAAACUGUUCAAGAAAGGGGUGAAGAUGACAUGUUCAAGAUGUCAUCAAGUAGGACACAACAAGAGAGCCUACAAAACAGAGCCUGCUAUGAGACAGUCAAGUCAGUCAACUCAGCUAAGAGAACCAACUCAACAAAGACAGCAUGCUCCAUCCUCAAUUUGUGAUGAUACAACUGUUGUCACCAGAUGUAAUCUGGACACAAUCAACUGGUGUAGGCAGGGGUAAGGGAACAGGGAGAGGUACUGGCUUAAGAAAUGGAGCAUUCCAAACAGCUGCUUCUAGAGGAAGAGGAUUUGAAACCAGUCAAGAAGGCACAUCCUCUAACAUUGAACAAAAUAGACCAAGACCUGCAGGGUGGAGCAACAGUUCUGAAUGUAAACAACAGUUAUCUUAAGCAAAUGUUAUUUUAUAUUUCAUAUUAAUUGUGACUAUGUGGCAAUUUUAACCUGGUAAUCCAUCUGAAAGAGUGAUAUCAUAGGGGAGACCUCUGAAUAACACAGCUGAAACCAAUAUAGAUAUUGGAUUUAAGCCGCCUGGUCUAAAAUGGAAAGGCAAACAAGCAGUGACAACUAACCAACUCCAGCGGAUGAGUGCAUCAAAGAAUACAAAGACUUCUAAUCAAGAAGGCACAUCCUCAUCUUUUCUGUCAGGCUAAAGGAAUGGAACCAAGUGACUUCAUUGUUUAAUAUGGUUUAGGUGCUUAUUUAAUUAAGUAAUUGGACAUGUAAUGACUUCUUGAACAACAACUUUAUUUUUAUAUUGUAUUGAUG
This is a non-coding RNA of Nicotiana tabacum (common tobacco), 1938 nucleotides long. The record is from RefSeq and is a predicted model, not a curated record. NCBI's taxonomy places the organism in Eukaryota, Viridiplantae, Streptophyta, Magnoliopsida, Solanales, Solanaceae.